RNAcentral lists this ribosomal RNA (483 nucleotides) under uncultured bacterium. RNAcentral describes it as "bacterial SSU rRNA". It matches the Rfam family "Bacterial small subunit ribosomal RNA", at positions 28 to 520 of the family's 1533-position model. The record is from RNAcentral.
GAUGAACGCUAGCGGCAGGCCUAAUACAUGCAAGUCAAGGGGCCAGUAAUGGCACCGGCGGACGGGUGCGUAACGCGUACACAACGUACCUUUGGGUGGGGGAUAGCACCGGGAAACUGGUGGUAAUACCCCAUGGUAUUGGAGACUGGCAUCAGUUUUCAAUUAAAGACUACGCCCAAAGAUCGGUGUGCGUCUGAUUAGCUAGUUGGUAGGGUAACGGCCUACCAAGGCGACGAUCAGUAGGGGAUGUGAGAGCAUGAUCCCCCACACGGGUACUGAGACACGGACCCGACUCCUACGGGAGGCAGCAGUAAGGAAUAUUGGACAAUGGUCGGAAGACUGAUCCAGCCAUGCCGCGUGAAGGAUGAAGGCGCUCAGCGUUGUAAACUUCUUUUGUUACGGGAACAAAAAUGCGACCUGCGGGUUGGUACUGAGGGUACCGGUAAGAAUAAGCACCGGCUAACUCCGUGCCAGCAGCCGCGG